This 463-nucleotide long non-coding RNA is filed under the name Rattus norvegicus (Norway rat). RNAcentral describes it as "long non-coding RNA NONRATT028499". The record is from RNAcentral. Lineage: Eukaryota; Metazoa; Chordata; Mammalia; Rodentia; Muridae.
GCGCCCAGCGCCUGCUGAAAUGAGGCGAUGAGGUGAUGACGUGCUGCCUGGGUCGCAAGCGGAAGAGCCCCCACCUGCUGAAGUCACGCCUGCUGAGUCAUUUCCGGGGAAGUGACUCCGAGAAUCUGCCUGCUCGCGUCUCUGGCUUCCUGUUUAUGGUGUCAUCUGCCUCACACGUGGUCUCCCACCAUGAUACCAUCUGUCCUGAGGUGCUCCAGCCAAGUGUCCUUCCACUAGUGCUGCUGCCAUGCCGCUUGUGCUUCUAAAGGGCAGAGGAAGAAUUCAGAUAGGUGACAGCAUAUUUCUUAGCAGGAACUACACAAGACCGAAGACUAUGGCAUGCCAUCUUUAAAUAGUGAAAGGAAAACAAAACACAGUCCAAGCAAAACUACCUCCUAAAAAUCAAAUCUCCAGAUACACCAAAGCCAGAAGAAACUUCCCCCAGAUGAACCACACUGUUCUG